Molecule: small nucleolar RNA, 104 nt
Organism: Callithrix jacchus (white-tufted-ear marmoset)
Lineage: Eukaryota; Metazoa; Chordata; Mammalia; Primates; Cebidae
Source: Ensembl
AUCCUUUCAUAGCUUAUGAGCAUGAUGAUUGGGUUUUCAUGCAUGUGUGUGAGAUGUACCACCCUGGAACCUUGUUAUGACAUUAGCACAUUAACUGUCUGACC